CUCAGAUUGAACGCUGGCGGCAGGCCUAACACAUGCAAGUCGAGCGGCAGCACAAGGGAGUUUACUCCUGAGGUGGCGAGCGGCGGACGGGUGAGUAAUGCCUAGGGAUCUGCCCAGUCGAGGGGGAUAACAGUUGGAAACGACUGCUAAUACCGCAUACGCCCUACGGGGGAAAGAGGGGGACCUUCGGGCCUCUCGCGAUUGGAUGAACCUAGGUGGGAUUAGCUAGUUGGUGAGGUAAUGGCUCACCAAGGCGACGAUCCCUAGCUGUUCUGAGAGGAUGAUCAGCCACACUGGGACUGAGACACGGCCCAGACUCCUACGGGAGGCAGCAGUGGGGAAUAUUGCACAAUGGGGGAAACCCUGAUGCAGCCAUGCCGCGUGUGUGAAGAAGGCCUUCGGGUUGUAAAGCACUUUCAGUAGGGAGGAAAGGGUGAGUCUUAAUACGGCUCAUCUGUGACGUUACCUACAGAAGAAGGACCGGCUAACUCCGUGCCAGCAGCCGCGGUAAUAC
RNAcentral lists this ribosomal RNA (514 nucleotides) under Shewanella putrefaciens. RNAcentral's name for it is "bacterial SSU rRNA". It matches the Rfam family "Bacterial small subunit ribosomal RNA", at positions 23 to 526 of the family's 1533-position model. Lineage: Bacteria; Pseudomonadati; Pseudomonadota; Gammaproteobacteria; Alteromonadales; Shewanellaceae. The record is from RNAcentral.